This 318-nucleotide ribosomal RNA is filed under the name uncultured Lachnospiraceae bacterium. RNAcentral describes it as "bacterial SSU rRNA". It matches the Rfam family "Bacterial small subunit ribosomal RNA", at positions 28 to 339 of the family's 1533-position model. Lineage: Bacteria; Bacillati; Bacillota; Clostridia; Lachnospirales; Lachnospiraceae. The record is from RNAcentral.
GAUGAACGCUGGCGGCGUGCUUAACACAUGCAAGUCGAACGGAGUUUAUAUGAAACCUAGUGAUUAUAAACUUAGUGGCGGACGGGUGAGUAACGCGUGGGUAACCUGCCUUAUACCGGGGGACAACAGUUAGAAAUGACUGCUAAUACCGCAUAAGCGCACGGUAUCGCAUGAUACAGUGUGAAAAACUCCGGUGGUAUAAGAUGGACCCGCGUCUGAUUAGCCAGUUGGUGAGGUAACGGCCCACCAAAGCAACGAUCAGUAGCCGCCCUGAGAGGGUGAACGGCCACAUUGGGACUGAGACACGGCCCAAACUCC